Molecule: small RNA, 144 nt
Filed under: Priestia megaterium
Lineage: Bacteria; Bacillati; Bacillota; Bacilli; Caryophanales; Bacillaceae
Description: L10_leader
Rfam family: Ribosomal protein L10 leader
About the family: This family is a putative r-protein leader autoregulatory structure found in B. subtilis and other low-GC Gram-positive bacteria.
Source: RNAcentral
AAAAGAAUAACAUUUGUACCGUAGACAGUAGGUGCUGCAAAGCUUAAUUUCCUACCGAGGUGUGUGAGAUAAAUUAGUGAAACGUUAUGGUUCGCUUACUACACCUCCAUGUCUUUAUUGUCAUGGAGGUUUUUUAUUGCACCU